ACCACGCCCAGGACCAGCCACCCAUGACGUAGCUCUUCUCAUUCCCGCAGCCACCUGGAGAAAGCAUCAAUAAUAUUGCAGGUGCCAGGUCCUUAUGCUCUUGUAUCGUCGGCCUGAGGGCAGAAGAGUGAAAGGAUGGUGGCUGGGAUGACUGGGGUCAGAAACUAUGCGCUUGGCCUUUCUUCUGCAGCGCUGGCUAUAGAUGUCCUGGAUGGAUGGCAAGGCAUGAAAAUAACCCCAAUGCUCUUGAGAGACGAGGAACCUGACAUGGCUUUGUUCUCUCACGAAGCCCACAUCUUGGUUCCCGGCAUGCCUGUGUGGAGCUUCUGCCUGCCCUGCACACACAUACCGACAGAUGUCAGAGAAAUCUUGAGGAUAAAGAUUUACCAUAAUUACUCUCUUACCCCCUCCCCACACCACCACCAACUGUACAGACCCUGCUCUGCUACAGCAGAACAUUAACAACCAGUUUGGGUGAUGGCAGCAAUUAUCAAGUGCAACUCCACAAUUACCAUCCUGUCCAUCGCCAUCAGGAUCUCAGAGCAAGUGAUUUCUUGAAGCAGAAGGGGUUCUCAUGAAACACAAUCACAGGAGGUGUCAUUUUUUCUUCUUCGUCUUGUUCAACAAGAUGCUGAUGCACUGCACUGAUACUGUGACUGCUGUAUCAGAGAUUUGCUGCUGCGUGUCUUCACUGUGCUUUUUUUUUUAAAGUGUGCAUGUCUGUUAUCUAGGGCACACCGAUAUAACAGAUGCGUUAACUGAGCCUGAAGGUCUUUUUGCUGUUUUUCCUUUCAGGUGUAACCCUCAUGGGAAAGCUAUGCGUGUACAGGUUUUAUAUAGGACAAAGGGGAAUUGUAACACUGUGAUUAUAUCCUAACUGUAAACCAAACA
Sardina pilchardus (European sardine) is the source of this 891-nucleotide long non-coding RNA. RefSeq lists it as uncharacterized. The transcript is spliced from 3 exons. The record is from RefSeq and is a predicted model, not a curated record. Lineage: Eukaryota; Metazoa; Chordata; Actinopteri; Clupeiformes; Clupeidae.